RNAcentral lists this ribosomal RNA (492 nucleotides) under uncultured bacterium. RNAcentral's name for it is "partial 16S ribosomal RNA". It matches the Rfam family "Bacterial small subunit ribosomal RNA", at positions 29 to 507 of the family's 1533-position model. The record is from RNAcentral.
AUUGAACGCUGGCGGCAUGCUUUACACAUGCAAGUCGAACGGUAACAGGCCUUCGGGUGCUGACGAGUGGCGAACGGGUGAGUAAUGCAUCGGAACGUACCCAGAGGUGGGGGAUAACGCAGCGAAAGCUGUGCUAAUACCGCAUGUGAUCUGAGGAUGAAAGCGGGGGACCGAGCAGCAAUGUUUGGCCUCGCGCCUUUGGGGCGGCCGAUGUCGGAUUAGCUAGUUGGUGGGGUAAAGGCCUACCAAGGCGACGAUCCGUAGCUGGUCUGAGAGGACGACCAGCCACACUGGGACUGAGACACGGCCCAGACUCCUACGGGAGGCAGCAAUGGGGAAUUUUGGACAAUGGGCGCAAGCCUGAUCCAGCAAUGCCGCGUGCGGGAAGAAGGCCUUCGGGUUGUAAACCGCUUUUGGCAGGAACGAAACGGUGUCCGCUAAUACCGGGCGCUAAUGACGGUACCUGCAGAAUAAGCACCGGCUGACUACGUG